RNAcentral lists this ribosomal RNA (696 nucleotides) under uncultured methanogenic archaeon. RNAcentral's name for it is "bacterial SSU rRNA". It matches the Rfam family "Archaeal small subunit ribosomal RNA", at positions 658 to 1353 of the family's 1478-position model. The record is from RNAcentral. Lineage: Archaea; Methanobacteriati; Methanobacteriota.
CACCGAUGGCGAAGGCAUCCCACCAGAACGGGUCCGACGGUGAGGGACGAAAGCUGGGGGCACGAACCGGAUUAGAUACCCGGGUAGUCCCAGCCGUAAACGAUGCUCGCUAGGUGUCAGGUGCGGUGCGACCGCAUCUGGUGCCGUAGUGAAAACUUGAAGCGAGUCACCUGGGAAGUACGGUCGCAAGGCUGAAACUUAAAGGAAUUGGCGGGGGAGCACUACAACGGGUGGAGCCUGCGGUUCAAUUGGAUUCAACGCCGGAAAGCUUACCGGGUCAGACAGCAAUAUGAAGGUCAAGCUAAAGACUUUACCGAAUUCGCUGAGAGGAGGUGCAUGGCCGCCGUCAGUUCGUAUCGUGAGACAUCCUGUUAAGUCAGGCAACGAGCAAGACCCGUGCCCACAGUUGCCAGCAUAUCCGCAAGGAUGAUGGGCACACUGUGGGGACCGCCGCUGCUAAAGCGGAGGAAGGGGCGGGCUACGGUAGGUCAGUAUGCCCCGAAUCAUCCGGGCUACACGCGGGCUACAAUGGUUGGGACAAUGGGCACCAACACCGAAAGGUGACGGUAAUCUCCUAAACCCAGCCUUAGUUCGGAUUGAGGGCUGCAACUCGCCCUCAUGAAGCCGGAAUCCGUAGUAAUCGCGUAUCAACAUCACGCGGUGAAUACGUCCCUGCUCCUUGUACACACCGCCCGU